AUUGAACGCUAGCGGGAUGCUUUACACAUGCAAGUCGAACGGCAGCGCGGACUUCGGUCUGGCGGCGAGUGGCGAACGGGUGAGUAAUGUAUCGGAACGUGCCCAGUAGCGGGGGAUAAAUACGCGAAAGCGUAGCUAAUACCGCAUACGCCCUACGGGGGAAAGCAGGGGAUCGUAAGACCUUGCACUAUUGGAGCGGCCGAUAUCGGAUUAGCUAGUUGGUGAGGUAACGGCUCACCAAGGCGACGAUCCGUAGCUGGUUUGAGAGGACGACCAGCCACACUGGGACUGAGACACGGCCCAGACUCCUACGGGAGGCAGCAGUGGGGAAUUUUGGACAAUGGGGGCAACCCUGAUCCAGCCAUCCCGCGUGUGCGAUGAAGGCCUUCGGGUUGUAAAGCACUUUUGGCAGGAAAGAAACGUCGCGGGCUAAUACCCCGUGGAACUGACGGUACCUGCAGAAUAAGCACCGGCUAACUACGUG
RNAcentral lists this ribosomal RNA (484 nucleotides) under uncultured bacterium. RNAcentral's name for it is "partial 16S ribosomal RNA". It matches the Rfam family "Bacterial small subunit ribosomal RNA", at positions 30 to 507 of the family's 1533-position model. The record is from RNAcentral.